RNAcentral lists this non-coding RNA (25 nucleotides) under Rattus norvegicus (Norway rat). Lineage: Eukaryota; Metazoa; Chordata; Mammalia; Rodentia; Muridae. The record is from RNAcentral.
UUCCCCCGGCCUGGAGGUCCCGCAC